GGUGCUAUAGUGUAGUGGUUAUCACCCGGGAUUCUGAUAAUUGAGUAUAGAUGCUCGAUUUCCCGGAACCCAGGUUCGAACCCUGGUAGCACCU
Molecule: non-coding RNA, 94 nt
Organism: Mycena floridula
Lineage: Eukaryota; Fungi; Basidiomycota; Agaricomycetes; Agaricales; Mycenaceae
Source: the annotation of a GenBank genome assembly